CCUCUCCUCUGAUCCACUCUUUAAUACCACUGUGGACAUAGUGAUGAAAAAUAAGAAAUGGACUGGUGAAAUCCAGAGGAAUUUAGUUUUUGAUAGCCUUGCUUCUCCCUUUUUCUGUCACUGUCUUCUGUUACUCGACUGACCCUCACCUUCCACCCUGUGCCUCUUAUCUGUCAGUGAUCCCUCAUUCUCCUGACUGUGAUUGGCAGCCUUUAAGGAAAGCUCUCCAACCAGAGUGGAGGAGGUCCCGGUACAAAAGAAAGUCACCACAAAACAAACAAUCUGAUGAGAAUGUGGCGUUUUGCUAACUCACUGCUGAAUCCAACAAAGGCAUGAGAACAGAGUAUGGAAGCGUAAAUGUUAUAUGAAACUUUUUUUUUUUUUGGGAUAAAAUGCUUUCUUCUAUUCCAGUAGACUACAAUAAAAAUGUAAACAAAAUGUAAACACUGGGCAUCUGUUUUGCUAUAAAACAUUUUCGUUGUUUGUUUAAGCAUCACCAGCCUGACACAACACUGGCUUAACCAAUGGCAUCAGUUUGGGGCGGGACUAGCUGUUUAUCCAUCCAAUGGCAGAUGAGGCUGAUGUGCACUCCAAUGGGUUUGGUGGAAAGCUGCGGAAACUUCCUGUCAGGGCCUGCCGUGAGAUCAACACCUGUUGGAGUGAGACGGAGGAGUCACUGAGUCCCGACUGGUGUGUUGCUUUCCAGCCCACACACUGAAAUCACACAAACACACACACAAGAAGCACAAACAAAUAAUACUAUCUGAUUCCUCAAAACUCGAAAAUGUGUCUGAAAUGCUAGAUUAGUCUGACGGCUACUCGCGUUAAAAGCCAAAAAUAUAAAAUGUAUAAAACCUCAGUUACUGCAUGUAAGGCUUUUUGAUUUAUGCAGAUUUGGCAUUGUGCAGUCUAAAAAAACAAACAAACAAACAAAACAAAACAACGCUUUACUCUAUACUAUGUAUUUGCCAAAACUAAAGUGUAAAAAAAGUUUAUUUUAUGUGGGUUUGAUCCAAAAAUAAAAUGAGA
Molecule: long non-coding RNA, 1029 nt
Organism: Cyprinus carpio (common carp)
Lineage: Eukaryota; Metazoa; Chordata; Actinopteri; Cypriniformes; Cyprinidae
Source: Ensembl